GAUGAACGCUGGCGGCGUGCCUAAUACAUGCAAGUCGAGCGAACAGACGAGGAGCUUGCUCCUCUGACGUUAGCGGCGGACGGGUGAGUAACACGUGGAUAACCUACCUAUAAGACUGGGAUAACUUCGGGAAACCGGAGCUAAUACCGGAUAAUAUAUUGAACCGCAUGGUUCAAUAGUGAAAGACGGUUUUGCUGUCACUUAUAGAUGGAUCCGCGCCGCAUUAGCUAGUUGGUAAGGUAACGGCUUACCAAGGCGACGAUGCGUAGCCGACCUGAGAGAGGGAUCGGCCACACUGGAACGGAGACACGGUCCAGACUCCUACGGGAGGCAGCAGUAGGGAAUCUUCCGCAAUGGGCGGAAGCCUGACGGAGCAACGCCGCGCGAGGGAUGAAGGUCUUCGGAUCGUAAAGCUCUCUUAUUAGGGAAAAACAAAUUUGUAAGUAACUAUGCACGUCUUGACGGUAACUAAUCAGAAAGCCACGGCUAACUACGUG
This 497-nucleotide ribosomal RNA is filed under the name uncultured bacterium. Its description in RNAcentral is "partial 16S ribosomal RNA". It matches the Rfam family "Bacterial small subunit ribosomal RNA", at positions 28 to 507 of the family's 1533-position model. The record is from RNAcentral.